GGAGAUAUCCCUCCGCAGAGCUGGGUCUGGCCGCGGGCGGGGAAGCAGGAAGUAAGGUGUCCAGCGCCGCGACCGGCUGGUCGUCCGCCUCGGCCCCCGCCCGCGUCCCCUUUCCCCCGGGGCGCAGCGCUACGGCGGGCGCGGGCCGCCCGGCGCAUUGUUCGCAGCCUUCGCGGCGGUGCGCUGCUGACUUUAUUUGUGCGCUUUGCGUGUGCGUGAGGUUGCACCUUUUGUAGGCUGGCGAGUCUCUGGACGAGGAUGGGACGGGGGACACGGGCCCAGUUGCGGCCCUGCGCGAGCGGGACCUGUCAGCCCUGAGGUGCAGCGGACCCUCCGGCAUGGCCGGAAAAUCGAGGCCGGGGAGAAGGCAGCGUGGCCGGGAAGCUGCCGCCUUAAACCCGGACCAGUGCAGGAUUGCUUCCUGCGUAGCCGUCCCGGUUAUUGUAACACGCUUUGCAAGCUAACGACUGGGCACCGGGGGCCGCCCGGGGCUGCUCGGCAUUGGUGCGGAAACCCGAGCCCGGAGUCGCUCCCUCGCGCUGUCUCCUCCUCCUCCUCUGCGGGGGAAACCGCUGCACCCAAACCGGGAGCAGCUGCGAGCAGGGGGCAGGGCGCGGGCUGAAAGGCGAGCCGAAGGUUCAAACCUCCGCGGCGCGGGCGGGGGCGGAGGGCAACAGCAGGACGGCCCCCAGGUCCCGAGAAGGCGUGGCAGUGGUCGGCCCAGGUGUCAGGGAACCUGGCCUGAGACCCCUGCAUUUCCAAGCUUCUUUCCUGGUCAGAGGAAACGUGAACCAAAGGUAGUUCAGCUAAACAGACCACCUCGAGCCGGGUUCGAGGCAUCUGUCUCGAGGGCAAGACAGUAUUUUUUGCACGACAGAAAGUUACACCAUCCAUUUUUUUCCGUGGGGGAAAUCAUUGCGCCCCUUCCCCCAAAAUGUCGCGCAAGAAGAAUGACCUCCCGCUACCCAGACCUUCGCCAGUGUCCCCCACCCCACCCCCACCCGGGCGCUGGGUGUGGAUUGGGCGGAGGGAGGCUAUAUGGGAGCUUAAAGCAUGAGGUCAUGAGCGGAGGAGACUGCUGCCAAAAGCACCCGAGGUUUUUGUGUUUUUUGAGGGGUAACGGUUCUCCAUCUUCAGCAGUGGAAAGUCCUCCCGCCUACCCUACCAAUUCUGGGGCACGUGGACCACAGAGUCCCUGAAAAGAGGAGGGGACCCGGGCUAUUUCGCUUAAUGAGCGUUUGGCGCGUGCCCAGCCCUUUAUGGAGCCCUUCCACAUAAGCAAAGAAAGCCGAGGGACAGCGCACAGUGUUGCGGCGACUGGGAAAGGCUUCAGAUGCUCGAUGUCCCCCGCCCUCUUUCCUCAGUCCUCGGUCAUCUUCCAAGUGGGCUGCUUUCUGCGAUAGCUUCCUGUCCCCCUCCGACCCAUUCCUCCCAAGCGACUAAAACUCCUAAUGACAUUAUUUUAAAGCCUUCAAAACCCUCUUCCAUUGCCCUUAGAAUAAAGCCAAGUUGUGAUUUCGCCUCUACAGACCUCUCUACCCGCCCAGCUCUUCCUCGGAUAUUCUCCUAAACCAGAAGCUGCAGAGAAGGAAGGAUUUGGGAUUUGCGGCUACACAGCCAAGGACGCUUUUGUCAUCUUCAAAGGACCCCCUACACCCUACACGCUUGGCCCGCUCUGUUCAUUGCCAACAGAGUGAUGGUUGAAUGCAUUCACAUGGUUCCAAAUUCAAAUAAACAGCAAGAAGUCUCCCUCCCACCCUGUCUGCCACCCACUUGGUUUUCCUUCUCUGGAGGCAACCUGGGUUAGUGGUCAGAAGAUGCAUUUAACUGUUUUCCAGCUGAGGCCUUGUGAGAACUCCUCGGACACCAAUUUAAAUCUUUAUGUCCAGAACUCCUUUCUCCAAUCCAGAGAUGAGGUUCCACCAUUCUUGCCCAGACUGGUUUCGAACUCCUGGACUCAAGCGAUUUGCCUGCCUCGGCCUCAAAAAGUGCUGGGAUUACAUGCAUGAGCCACCACACCCGGACCCUCUCUCUUAAAUAGUGGCCCUUUUGCCUCUCUGCAACACAGGAAAAAUUCUGUUAGCCUGCAUCAGAAGGAGUGGCAUGGAGGCUUUGGAGUUAAGAAGAUUUAAUUCAAAUUAUGUGUCCGGUGCCUGCCAGCAAUGAGACCUUGGUAAGGUUUCUUAACCUCUCUGAGCUGGGACCAUACCUUCUGCGUUGGUUUAAUAUAAAGGUUAAAUGCAUGUAAAUAAAUGACUUCUAAAAUAAAUAACAUUCUAAAAUGUUAGUAACAACUAAAUACAAUAUUUAGAUCUUGUGAGGAUUUGAUUUGAAUAAAUAAGAUUUUUUUAAAAGACAUUUUUGAGACAAAAUGUAGACUAUCUGAUAUUAAGAAAUUAAUCACUUUUUCAGAUAUGAUAAUGGCAUUGCAGUUUUUUUUAAGUUCUUAUCUAUUACAGAUACAUAAUGAGGCAUUUUGAGUGAAAAUAUAUCUAGGAUUUGCUUUCCAAUACUCCAUCCCCUCCCCAUCAAAACACUAAAUAAAUGAAACAAGAUUAGUGAAAUACGGAAAAUUGUUGAAGUUAUUCAUUAUUCCAUUUCCCAUAUGGAACUUUCCAUACUAGUUUCCCUACUGCUGUUGAAUAUUUGACAUGUUUCAAAUACAUUUGAAAUAAAUUUAUUGUCUGAGAUGAUCAGGUUGAAAAAUAAUAAAAUGAAAUAAAUUUAAAAGUAAAAUAAACAUAACCCUUUUAAGCAUUAAAAUUAAAAAUUAUGAGGCUUGUUGAAUUAUUACUGUUAUAAAUAAUUACAUACAUGUAUUUUUGAAACAGUCUUGCUCUUUCACCCAGGCUGCAGUGCAGUGGCAUAAUCACAGUUCACUGCGGCCUCAACCUCCCAGGCUCAGGUGAUCCUUGCACGUCUGCCUCCCAAGUAGCUGGGACUGCAGGUGUGCACCACCAUGCCUGGCUAAAUUUUUCUCUUUUGUAGAGACGGGUUUUGCGAUUUUGCCCACACUGGUCUUAAAGUCCUGGG
This 3033-nucleotide long non-coding RNA is filed under the name Homo sapiens (human). Its description in RNAcentral is "HSALNT0106238". The record is from RNAcentral. Lineage: Eukaryota; Metazoa; Chordata; Mammalia; Primates; Hominidae.